RNAcentral lists this long non-coding RNA (5081 nucleotides) under Marmota monax (woodchuck). The record is from RNAcentral. Lineage: Eukaryota; Metazoa; Chordata; Mammalia; Rodentia; Sciuridae.
CGACAAGAUAACUGCCAAGAACUCCUGCCUCUUGUCCUUUUCUAUUGGACCUCUGGUGAAAAAGGAGAGAAUUUUACUCUUCUCUCAACAGCAAAUGUCUUUCUACAUCUCAGACUCAUGGGAUCACCUGCCUGGCUCCUAACUGGAACAGGAUGCUCUAAUUGGCCAAUCCCGAGUCACAUGCCGUGCCCUGGAGCCCAGAGUCUCUCUGCCUAAGAAAAAAAUCAUUGAUGUCCCCAGGGAAGAGCAAAUGCGCAUGAAUAGCCAACAAACAGUCCCCAGUACAUCAAUUUCACCCUGCCAUUCACUGGGCAGUCAGGAUGGGCAGCAGAUAGAAUAGGACAUGAGCGCAGUCAAGAGGCAGGUGAGUGCCACCCCGGGAAUGUACAACUCAAGGCUGCUAGGAAAAGACACAGGGACCCUAGGUUCAAGUGGCACAGGGUUUGCCAACAAGAGGAGAGAGAGCAUGCAUGACAUCUCCUUGGGCAAUGCUUUGGACCCCGAUGGCCAGCAGAUCUGUUCUGGAUCAGAUGUGGCUGCACACACCCCACUUGGUAGGCCUAGAAGCAGUCCUCUCUCACCCUCUGUGCAAGUCUGAGUUACAGAAGUGGGGGUGGCCUGUCGGAAGGCCAUUGAUACAUGCAUCUAAGCAGAACAAAGGCACACUCAGAGAAUCUAAAACAAGGUUUUUCUUCCCAGGAAAGAUGACAAGCCUAGCACAGGCUGUGCAUGCCUUUUGGUAAGGAAGUGUUCCUGGCCCAAGGCAUAUUCUGGCCAAGUGGGGGCAGAAAGAUGGCCCACACUUGCUCAAAUGAGACUGCUUUUCCCAGCACCAGGUUACACUGUGCAGAAAUGAAGUGAGAAAAUUAACAGAAGCAGGAUCAUAGAAGGCCAUCUGUGGCAGAAUAAGAGUGAGGACUUUGGGUACCAGUCUGUGGGGAAAUGGGGCAGCCCAGGAGGAGGCUAGUUAGAUCUGGGACUCUUGAGCCAGCACACCCGGGGUCAAUCUCAGCUCUGCUAUUUAGAGCUGUGUAACUUUAUCAAUUAACUUAAAAAACAAAUAAUUUAGCCUCUUUGUGUUCCAGCUUUCAUAUCUAUGAAAUGAAAGUGAUGAUAACAUGUCCUAGUGAAUACUGCCUGGUCCCUUGUAAUAAUGUUGCUACUUUAUUGGAGGGAAUUUAAGGACCAGCUGCAUACCUUCUAACUAGCUGGUGGCAGUUGGAUGAACUAGGCUAGCAUUUGAAGUUUUUGAGUCUCACUUUCUUCCUCUAUGAGAUUCAGUCAGAUGUAGGGUACAAUCUCCUCACUCUGAUGUUCUUUAUUUGUCAAUACAAUGUAACAACAGGCUUGCAAUUGAACUUUCACAUGGACCUCAGUCGGAAGGCAGGAAACUGACAAUCCAAGUGGAACCAAAGCUCUUUAAGCAGAAGAUCUCACCUCAUUGUCCACUGUAAUUCAUGAAAUACCACCUUCCCACGCUAGGAGCAAAUGCCCAUUUUUUUUUUUUUUCAAACAGAUGCGCACAAAGCUGUCAGAUGGCUACGAAUUUAUACAAACCAGGUCCUUCCUCAUCCCCUACCCGCAACUAUUUUGAGCAUUUCAAGCCAAAUGAAUUCUCCACGUCAGCAAAAUUUUACACAUGUUAUGCAAAAGCACACCACGGAAACACAGAGAAAAAGACAUAAAUAAUGCAAAUUGAGCAUCCAUCUUAGCCCUGGCCAGAUGAAGCGGGAGCGGGGGCUACAAUUAGCCAGUCUGGGCCUGACAAUGGUUAUUGUGGCAACAUAAUCUAUGGGAGGUGUCUGGUUAGACUGCACACUUGCAAAGCAGAAAUAUAUGCUUGAUAAAAGGGAAGGACAAAGAAAAAUUAUGAGGGGCGGAGAAACAAGGUAGGAGGAGAGAGAGAAACAGAAACUCAAAGACAAGUCAGAGGAUGUGCUCACAGAAGACCAGCCUUAGCUUUAAGCAAGGGCAAAAAAUGGCAGUAUUGCCCUUGAAAUACUGGCCAUGGGGUCUUGAUCAAGCUGUUUAUUCUGUUUGAGCCUCAAUGACAAAGAACUGUGAAUUAUAUGUGGAAAAUUGUCCGGAUGCAUCCCUUAGCAGAUGGGAAGACUGCGGUGGUAAAUGAAAUUAACAUGCUGCCUCGUGGAAAGUAUUCCUGUGCUUUCCCUCUGUGGUGCAUUCAGAGUACCAUGCCAGGAUCAUCGUGAACAAAAUGGUCAUUUAAAACAAACACCCCCUUUCUCUGCAGAACUAUUACACUAAUUCCCUUUUCCAAGAAAUUGCCAACUGGUUUGAAUUCUUGGAGAUUUGGGUUGGAGUAGUGAAAGAAGAAAGGAAACUUCUUCCCUCACUCACAGUCCACCCUGGCCACUCCGAAUUACAUCAUCCCCUCGAGAGGGUUCUGCACGGGGAGCAAAUGAGAAAUUCAACUGUCCUUGGAAUGAAGCCUGCUCACUUCUUCAGGGGACGGUGCUGGCCAAAAUUAGUAGUUUCUGCUGAAAUUACAAUGAAACUUUGAUCCCUUGGAGGGUUCCAAUGGAGAGACAGACGUUGGGCCCCAGGAACACCAAGUAGUCAGGGCAGCAACAAUCUGAAGACAGUGACCCUCACCAGCAGUGUGAUGGGAGGUGAUAACCAUGGGGGACCACUUUUCUCUGAGAAGCAGCUCUCUGGUGAGCUGACUGGGGUUUCCAUAAAGUCUGAAUUUUUGGAAACCAUCUCACUGGCCUUGUAUCUUGGGGGACUCAUAACCCAACAGAUGAAUACCCAACAUCAUGAUAGUCAUUAUAAUAUACAAACUAAUGGUAAUAGAAUGGGUUGCAAUCAUAAAUACAUGCAUAAUGAAAGCUAAUACAUAAUGCUUACUGUGUACCCAACAUGGUGUACUUUUAUACAUUUCACAUUCAAUUCUAGCAAGACUUUGAGGCACAUACUACUACCAGCUUUGUUCAAAUAGUGAUGAAACUGGUUCAGAGAAGGGAAGCAUAUCCAAGGUAUUGGGGUAGACUGACCACCAAAGUGACCAUAAUUCUUCAUUCUUCCCAGUUUCCACACUCUGCAAUAUGAUUCUGUAACUUUUGAAGGUCUGAGGGCUUGCUGUUGACUAAUAGAAUGAGGCCUUGCUGAUAGUGUCCCAGUUCUAUGCCUGGGUCUCAAGAGAGCACCUACACUUCUGCUCUUUCUCUUGGACCCCUACCAGGCUGCUAGAGGAUGAGAGGCCACGUGGAGCAGGCAUGAACUGUCCCAGUGGAGGUCAUAUUAGAUCAACCUGCUCCUGCAGGCACAUGAGAGAGUCCAGACAAGCUCAUCUGAUUGGCAGAAGUUCCAAACUAAUGUGCUGACCAGUGAGCCAUGAUAGAUAUUUACCAUUUCAAGCUACCAAGUUUUGGGAUGGUUGUUACAUAGCAGUGAAUACCUGAAAUAAUAACCUAGGUUAAGUUUCCUUACUCCAAGGCUCUUUGCCUUUUAACCUCCAGUUGCUCACAGCACAAUCCCACUUGUGCAUCUUGGUUGCCAGCACCAUAUGCUUGAUUCUACCUUUCUCUUUUCAGUUACAGGUUCUGGGAACAGACAUUUGUGGUUGCCCCCAUUCUUGUGACCCAUCUUGGCUCCUUGUGAUUGACUUCAGCCAUAAGUAGUGGCCGUAGGAUGGGAAGCAGUAUGACUGCAGGGUGGGGCGAGAGGAAGGAGACUUCUGGGAAGUGCCAGGAGCGUGACUAAGUGUGGUCAUUCAAAAAUCCAGGGAAGCAACAGAUGUUCUUGUGAUGCGUGGUCUCUGGGGCCUUCUCCCUCUGUUGGUCCCAGCUUUUCCUCCUCAUUCUCCUGGGCCCAGGAGGGAUGGAGUGUGUGCCUUUAUUUAGGGAUACCUCUCAAAAUAUUGAGCAACUGGCUCAGACGCAGACCAGUCAAAACCAAUGGCUGCUGUAGCACUGGGGCAGAGGUUUGGAGGCCCCAGUUUUUGGAUCAUGGGGAAGUUGGGGCAUAGUUGAUAGGGAAGAAGACUCUUGAGAAGGGCUUGGGUCAAAAAGAUUUCCCUUGGGUGCAACCACUUGGGGGCAGUCAGGACAGCGAGUGUUGGCUGAUGAGUUUUGACUUAUUUUCUAAACUUUAACAGCUUGUUAAGCCCCAUUGGGGUAUGCCAGACAGGACUCAGUGAAAAAAUGUAUCAUGUUCUGCAUGUUUCUGCCUGGCAGACCGAGUAGCCUAGAGCCCAGAGACACAGUGUGUAGUGGUGAGUACCCAGCACCCAGUACAGUCUGCCACACACCAGCUGUCUCAGUGAAGUUGGACAAUUUGAACACAAUAAUUUAAACCUUGAGACUCUUUUGUGUUUUCUAGUCCAGAUUCUGAAUGAUGAGGAAUCUGGUCCCAGCCAUUUUUCCCUUGAAACAAUUACUUCUUUACAGCAGAGUUAUGAAGAACUAAGGUGACCUCUGACGAUCAGAUCUGACCUCUUCUACCCUGAGAUGUAUCAAGAAUAAAUUGUUGCAUUGAGGAGAGCAGAUGGUGGAGGGGGCUGCAGGGAGAGAGCAGCCCCCUGGGUCUCAUAGGCCUUGGAGCAUACUCUGCCCCUCAACUGCUAGCCUCCAUCAUCAUUAGCAAUUCAACAGUUCUUAUUGGACUGAGAAAAGGGCACACCUCAUGCCGCUUACAAACCUUGGCCUGGGAACUCCUAAAUAUACCUGGAGUCCCAGGACUUGGUACUGUGGGGUCCUGGAAGGCACCAUUGUGUCCAUUUUCCCCAAACACCAAGCAGCCUCUGACCCACAGAAGGGACUCCAGGACCAUCUGCUGAGAGCACAGGUGAAGAAUGAAUGAAUGAAUGAAUGGUAACCUCCUUCCCAAGUAGUUGUUUUGAAAAGAACUUGGAAUGAACUUUGGAGUCAUAGUAAUUUGAGUUCAAAUCCUGGUUUUGUCAUUUAAUAGCUUUCGGUUUCUCAUGUACAAAUAUAAUAAAACCAACGGCAAAGACUCGCACUUGUGUGAAGUGCUCAGCAUAACACUCAUAAAUGCUUAAUAAAUUGUAAUUGCUCCUUUUCUGCUAUGUGUGUUUUAUUUUUCUUCAUUUUGUAUUUUUG